UGCAUGUUUCUCUUUUAUUAGUGUAGAUAAUUGGCAUAUAAUAUUAUAUUCAUUUCAGAUAUACAAUAUAAUGAUUUGAUAUUUUUAUAUAUUGCGAAAUGAUCACCACAGUAAGUUUAAUUAACAUCCUUCACUACCCGGUUACAAAUUAUUUUUCUUGUGAUGAAAACUUUUAAGAUUUACUCUCUUACCAAAUAGAUAAUACUAUAUUAUUAACUGGUCAUCAGGUGUCCAAUACGUCCCCAUGACUUAUUUAUUUAUAACUGGAAUUUUGUACCCUUUGACACCCUUCACCCAUUUGGCCCUCUCUCACCCCUCCCACCCCCACCUCCGGCAACCACCAAUCUGUUCUAUAUAUCCUUGAGUUUGUUUUUUUGUUUGAUUGAUUUAGAUUUCAUAUAUAGGUGGAAUCUACAACGUUUGCCUUUCUCUUUCGGACUUAUUUCAUUUAAUGUAAUACCUUCAAGGUCCAUCCAUAUUGUUGCAAAAGGUGAGACUUUCUCCUUUUUUAUGGCUGAAUAAUACCUUAUUUUAUAUAUGUAUCACAUUUUCUUUUUUUAAUUUACAUUCCUUCACACAGGCCUUUUACUUCCUGUCCUUGACACAGGUCUUUUACUUACUGAUACAAGGCCUGUUAGAUGCAUACCUUUCUCUCAGAACACAGGUGGGGACCCACUCUGGUCCAGAAGGAAAAAUUCCAGAGUAUCCUUUGUACCUAGUAAACUUAGGUUUACUCUCAGGAAAGUCUUUCUUAUUGUGACUGAUAUCCUUUGGGCUGAAGCUUACACCCAUUUCCUCCACUUCAGACAUUAGUGACAAAGAAUCAGAAAUGAUCCUUGGCCUCAAAAGGACCUCCUAUGUGACGGCUUCAGCCUUCCCCUUUUAAAGAAGGAAAAAAACUGAGAACCAAGUAGAACGUGGGACCUGCCUAUGGUUGAGAACCAGUGCCAAAACCCACUUCCCUCUCUCAGACCACAGUGCACUUUCUGUUGCCCUAUUCCUUCACACAGGUCUUUUACUUACUGAUACGAGGCCUGUUAGAUGCAUUCCCCUUCCAUAACGUCUGAAGUAUAAACUACCUUAUUUUUGUAGAAGGCCCAGGAAGGCAAAUUAUUAGUGUUUCAGGGCCAGGAUAAAACCCUGAACAGCUCCUCAUUUUGUGCCGAGGACAGAACCUCCACUCUCCGCUCUCUGGUUCCAGGCUCCAUGCUGGGGCUUCCUUUUAAAAUCAAGCCGCCCCCCCCCCCCCAAAGACUAGGAACCAAGAGGGAUUUUUUUUAAUGUAUAUACUUAUUCAAAACUGAAGCCAUGGAGAAGCUCGGGUUCUUUGCUCAGCAUCUGCUUGUGUUGAGCAAGUGAAAAUCCCUGGGGAGCAGUGGGUGCUUCCCACACCAAAUGAUUUCUGUACAAGGUCCAGCAUUCCUCCGUCUGAUAUGGGGGUCACACCACACACCAAGAAGGAUGUGACUAAGAAAAAUGUGACUUCAGAGACGCUGCAAGUCCAGACAACUUCUGAUAAACAUUUAAACAGAAGUAAAGAAUGUUUUCCUUUCUGAGGGGGGAAGCUAUGUGGUCUAGGGUGUGAGUGGGAGGAGAUGGAGGAUAAUAAAUCCAAACAUCAGCUUCCUCCUUUCAUAAUUCUUAAGUAUGUCAGCAACAGCCAUUUUUAAUUCCCUGACAGGCUCUCAUACUUGUACCACUCCGCUGGGUGCGAGCCACAGAAAGAGGGAUAGGAUCUGUGAAGAACGGGAAAUUCCAAAGUAAUUACCAAGCAUGUUUAAAAUGAAGCUGGAUGCUGGGGCCAGUCUCUUGGUUCCCACACCGAGGCCGGGAAAGCUCCCGAAGGUGUCCACUCAGGCCCACUUGAGGCACCUACGUUGGGAUUCUCGCUUCCUGUGCUGACAAAGGGGGGAAGCUCUGGAGGGGAAAUGGGUGUUGACUUCCAGGGGAGGAAAGGUGAGGGGGAGCGGAUGGCACCUCUCAGCAUUCUCAUCCUACCCAAGGAAUUCCGAGAGCACUGGGCCAGGAUGGGGAGGAGGGAGAGCCAAGAGCAGAGAGCCAACAUGGAUGCCCCUUGGCAAGGGAAAGGAAAGCAGCAUGGUUUCUGAGACACGAAGCGCUUUCAUUGGUAGUAUUGAUCCAAUUAAUGUCUUUGCCUACUUUCUUUCCCAUGGGUCCUUUGGUUUGUCUCCUCAUGUUUCCUGGAAGGGUGUGUGUGGUGGGGAAUGGGGGGAUGGGUGAGGAUGGGUAAGACCGACUGGCAUUCUCUUUAAGCAAUUCUAAUAAAAAUUAAAAAAUAUAAAUGUCUUGGAAGGAAAGACAUUGAUGUUAACUUUAAUAAAACCCUUCAUGUAUCCAAAAAUCAAGAUUGUUUUGCCUGUCUGUUAUGUCAGCCAUUAUCCCUGUGGCCAGGAGCGCUCAAGACAGAAUGCAUUUCUGCCACUUCUUCCCCUUUGAAUUUUAAGCAGGCAAAGAGAUGAUCACCUUGUGAAAUCAUAAGUAUUCCCAUACUCGGCUUUAGAGAUUUUUCACUUUUCUGAGAGAGCAUAUUUUAUUUUUAAAAGCUAGUGUUCAAAAACACGUUCACUUGUUUGUUGGUUUGUUUGUCCAUGUAGUCAUUCAUUCAUUCAUUCAUGGGGAUGGAAAGAGUCCUAUCAAUGGGCCAUGACUUAGAAAAAUGGGAGUCAUAGUCAGGAUGAAAGCUCUGGCGUUUAACCUACCAUAGAAUCUUGGCCCGCCUACUGAUAAGCUCUGGGAAUCUAUGCAAGUUCAUAAACCUUUCAGAACCUCUGAUUUCUCAUCUGUUAAAUGGGGUUAAUAUGAGCAUAACCACCUCAUUGGAUUCUUGUGAGAAUUAUCUGAAGUAACAUUAGAAAUAGCCUGUACUGUGCUGGGCAUAUAAUAAGCUCAAGAAUGGUAGGAGCAGCGGUAGUAUUAGUGGUGAUGGUAAAGGUAGUAGUAAUUUUUAUGAUUAAUAGUUAUUAGUAAUGAGACGAAUAUCGUAAGAGUAAUGGCGUGAAGCACUAUGAAAUAUCAGUGGGGGAGGGAAUGUAUCAGUGGGGCAGAGAUUGCAGGACAGGAGGUAAUUUGACUUGCUAGCUUUCUUUCAUUUGAGCUCUAUUCUUCUCAAUCACAUCUUAGUGGAGAAGUCGGGGCCUCCCUUUCCCUUUGCACUACAUUUUCUAUUCCAUUCCUGAGGACUGCAGCUUUGGUAGCACAUUCAACUGAAGGCUCCAUCCCAGCGUCUGCAUUGACCUUGGAGUGCCAGAGUUAUUAUUCUGUCAAUUAUUUGACUUUUUAAAGUGUGCUCACCCUGGAGAACCUCUGCAGAGGAGGACUGUGUUAAUGUGUAACACAGAGAUAAGCAAGGCACUGCUCUUUUCCUUUUUUCAUAGUCAUUCAGGCGGAAAACUGAAAUGGUUUUUAUUUGCAUCUCAUCGAGCAGUGUUGGAGGGUGGGGAAGAAGAGGCUUUUACUAAUGAAGUACAGUGGGAUGCGAAUUUUGGCAACACAAGACGCCGUGAAUCACCUGCAACUUGUUUUUGUUUUAAAAAUAAAAGUAAAUUGCAAGGCAGUGUCGUACCUUGCUUGAAGAAGUGAUGGUAUUCAGCAAGGAGACAGUGAAGAGGAAUACACUGAGCUGGUGGAACCAAGUAGCUCUGUGCUUCUCUUGUAGACGGAAUGAACGAUGGCCACUUGCAGGGGUGGCAAGGUCAUUUUUCUCACCUUCUAUAGAAGGCAUUGAUCACGGGGGCCGGAGAACAAUGUUCGGGACAAGGAGAAAUGAGCAGCUGUUGCAGGAGGCAGUGAGUGGAGACAGGAGGACGGAGGCCCCUGUGUGCGGGAGCCAGCUCUGCCCAGCCCGCAGGCUGGCGGGGAGGUGGUGAAGCUGGUUGCCUAGAGCCCUACAGCUCUGCUGGUAACUUUCCAUUGUUAGAGAAAUCUCCUGGUCAUCAUACAAGUGCAUUUCUGAAAUGCCUGACAGCUCAGGGCUCCGUAAGCUCUGGAUUAGCCAGCCCUCCACACAGCCAGUCUGUAUCAUAAGCAAAGGUCAGAGGAAUGUGGUAGAGCCUU
Long non-coding RNA from Pipistrellus kuhlii (Kuhl's pipistrelle), 4074 nucleotides. RefSeq lists it as uncharacterized. The record is from RefSeq and is a predicted model, not a curated record. The transcript has 2 exons. Lineage: Eukaryota; Metazoa; Chordata; Mammalia; Chiroptera; Vespertilionidae.